CGCCCGGUAGAGCAAUGGUCAGACGCCGGCCGCUUGUCGCGGUCUUGUUGCAGGUUCGAGUCCUGUCGAGCCU
RNAcentral lists this transfer RNA (73 nucleotides) under Alphaproteobacteria bacterium. RNAcentral's name for it is "tRNA-Thr". Lineage: Bacteria; Pseudomonadati; Pseudomonadota; Alphaproteobacteria. The record is from RNAcentral.